AACGAACGCUGGCGGCAUGCCUAACACAUGCAAGUCGAAUGAGACCUUCGGGUCUAGUGGCGCACGGUUGCGUAACGCGUGGGAACCUGCCCUUAGGUUCGGAUUAACUCCCCGAAAGGGGUGCUAAUACCGGGUAAUGUCUUCGGACCAAAGCUUUCUCGGCUUUGGAUGUGGCCGCGUUGGAUUAGCUAGUUGGUAGGGUAAAAGCCUACCAAGGCGACGAUCCAUAGCUGGUUUGAGAGGAUGCUCAGCGACACUGGGACUGAGACACGGCCCAGACUCCUAGGGGAGGCAGCAGUGGGGAAUAUUGGACAAUGGGCGAAAUCCUGAUCCAGCAAGGCCGCGUGAGUGAUGAAGGCCUUAGGGUUGUAAAGCUCUUUUACCCGGGAUGGUAAUGACAUUACCGGGAGAAUAAGCUCCGGCUAACUCCGUG
RNAcentral lists this ribosomal RNA (433 nucleotides) under uncultured bacterium. RNAcentral's name for it is "partial 16S ribosomal RNA". It matches the Rfam family "Bacterial small subunit ribosomal RNA", at positions 29 to 507 of the family's 1533-position model. The record is from RNAcentral.